Molecule: long non-coding RNA, 1287 nt
Filed under: Triticum aestivum (bread wheat)
Lineage: Eukaryota; Viridiplantae; Streptophyta; Magnoliopsida; Poales; Poaceae
Description: long non-coding RNA (TAES_LNC018955)
Source: RNAcentral
UGAAGUGUGUAAAGCCCAGCUCUGAUUUUUGGGUUGUACCACACAUCAUUGUCCAUCUCAGAGAAUAAGAGCAUGUCCUUCAGCAAGAAAUCGUCUGCUUAAUUUUGACCUAGAGGUAAGAAGAUUGACAAGGCACCACUAAAUCAUCUAAAUCAAAACCUUUUGGCCUCUGCUUUCACUAUGUAUGAGUACCUGCAUGGUGUGAGCAGAUCAUUCAAUCAGUACACAAAAAAGGAUAAUGUUCUAAAAAUGUACACAACAAGGAAUAAAGCAGUUCCAUUAUUUAUCUACUUAUCUACUAAACAUACCGUCAUAUAAAUCCACCAGAUGGUCAAUUUUUUCACACCUAUUCUCAAAAAAUCCUGUACAUACCCAAAAAAGUGUCCAACAGGGAGCAUAUUCAAAAAAUCUACAGCUCCAUGAAAAAAUGCCCUUCUCCAUGGUGACCAAGCAAGCUCAUGAAGUUCUUGUGAUUUAAUAUAAAUAAACAUGUGAUGUGGAAGUAAAACCAUUGGAAAUAAUAUGAAGUGGAUAACGUGUAUAUACUCAAGUUGUAGGUAAUUCUGCAUACUACAAUUACUACCUCAUGUCCUCAUCCUUGGUGAGGAGGGGAAGUUGGAGGAGGCUCUCUCGAGAGGCUCGGCAUUAGCUGCAAUCAUCUACACAACAUGAAAAUAAAGAUCAAACCUUGGCAACAGAAACCACAGGAAACCUGAAAUUAUGGACUAAACAAAAAGAGAUAAGUUGGGGAGCAAUUUAGGUCGCCAGACUGAUGAGCUCCUACAUAUGCAUGAUUUUACAAAGUAGCAAAUGUGAUACCUUGGUGCUGCCUUCAGUUUUGAACGACUCAGAGACCAUUCUGUUCCCUCUAGCAAAUAUGUUAACAUAACUAUAUGGACAAUGCAUUUCUAAACAUUGACCAAAGCAUCCAUGCAGUCAGAACUAAAAGCAUCUAAUUGUUCUGUUCUAAACUGUUUUAAUGUCUGCACUUUGGUGUAGUUGCACCUUGGUGUCAUGAACUGAAUUAUGGUUGAAGAAUAAGAAAGUAAAACCUAGAAAGAUCUACCAUGCAUACACAACAAAUCUGUACCAAAACCAUACUUUUGACAUGCAAGACGGGGUCAUUUUUUCAUGUACUGUAUAUUAGUGCAUUACUUAUACAUCAGAUAUCAAAUUAAGCGGAAGUCGGUAGAAAUUAGUAGAAGUGGACAACAAAAAUUAGCAGCCCAUCAUCAUACCGCUAAAUAACAAGGCGCAUCGGCCAUCCACUUGAUUUUUUUUGCGGGU